Molecule: ribosomal RNA, 156 nt
Filed under: uncultured bacterium
Lineage: Bacteria
Description: partial 16S ribosomal RNA
Rfam family: Bacterial small subunit ribosomal RNA
Source: RNAcentral
AGGGAAUCUUCCACAAUGGACGAAAGUCUGAUGGAGCAACGCCGCGUGAGUGAAGAAGGGUUUCGGCUCGUAAAGCUCUGUUGGUAGUGAAGAAAGAUAGAGGUAGUAACUGGCCUUUAUUUGACGGUAAUUACUUAGAAAGUCACGGCUAACUAC